GAUGAACGCUGGCGGCGUGCCUAAUACAUGCAAGUCGAGCGAACGGACGAGAAGCUUGCUUUUCUGAUGUUAGCGGCGGACGGGUGAGUAACACGUGGAUAACCUACCUAUAAGACCGGGAUAACUUCGGGAAACCGGAGCUAAUACCGGAUAAUAUUUUGAACCGCAUGGUUCAAAAGUGAAAGACGGUCUUGCUGUCACUUAUAGAUGGAUCCGCGCUGCAUUAGCUAGUUGGUAAGGUAACGGCUUACCAAGGCAACGAUGCAUAGCCGACCUGAGAGGGUGAUCGGCCACACUGGAACUGAGACACGGUCCAGACUCCUACGGGAGGCAGCAGUAGGGAAUCUUCCGCAAUGGGCGAAAGCCUGACGGAGCAACGCCGCGUGAGUGAUGAAGGUCUUCGGAUCGUAAAACUCUGUUAUUAGGGAAGAACAUAUGUGUAAGUAACUGUGCACAUCUUGACGGUACCUAAUCAGAAAGCCACGGCUAACUACGUGCCAGCAGCCGCGGUAAUACGUAGGUGGCAAGCGUUAUCCGGAAUUAUUGGGCGUAAAGCGCGCGUAGGCGGUUUUUUAAGUCUGAUGUGAAAGCCCACGGCUCAACCGUGGAGGGUCAUUGGAAACUGGAAAACUUGAGUGCAGAAGAGGAAAGUGGAAUUCCAUGUGUAGCGGUGAAAUGCGCAGAGAUGUGGAGGAACACCAGUGGCGAAGGCAACUUUCUGGUCUGUAACUGACGCUGAUGUGCGAAAGCGUGGGGAUCAAACAGGAUUAGAUACCCUGGUAGUCCACGCCGUAAACGAUGAGUGCUAAGUGUUAGGGGGUUUCCGCCCCUUAGUGCUGCAGCUAACGCAUUAAGCACUCCGCCUGGGGAGUACGACCGCAAGGUUGAAACUCAAAGGAAUUGACGGGGGCCCGCACAAGCGGUGGAGCAUGUGGUUUAAUUCGAAGCAACGCGAAGAACCUUACCAAAUCUUGACAUCCUUUGACAACUCUAGAGAUAGAGCCUUCCCCUUCGGGGGACAAAGUGACAGGUGGUGCAUGGUUGUCGUCAGCUCGUGCCGUGAGAUGUUGGGUUAAGUCCCGCAACGAGCGCAACCCUUAAGCUUAGUUGCCAUCAUUAAGUUGGGCACUCUAAGUUGACUGCCGGUGACAAACCGGAGGAAGGUGGGGAUGACGUCAAAUCAUCAUGCCCCUUAUGAUUUGGGCUACACACGUGCUACAAUGGACAAUACAAAGGGCAGCGAAACCGCGAGGUCAAGCAAAUCCCAUAAAGUUGUUCUCAGUUCGGAUUGUAGUCUGCAACUCGACUACAUGAAGCUGGAAUCGCUAGUAAUCGUAGAUCAGCAUGCUACGGUGAAUACGUUCCCGGGUCU
This 1372-nucleotide ribosomal RNA is filed under the name uncultured bacterium. RNAcentral describes it as "bacterial SSU rRNA". It matches the Rfam family "Bacterial small subunit ribosomal RNA", at positions 28 to 1381 of the family's 1533-position model. The record is from RNAcentral.